GAUGAACGCUGGCGGCGUGCCUAAUACAUGCAAGUCGAGCGAACAGACGAGGAGCUUGCUCCUCUGACGUUAGCGGCGGACGGGUGAGUAACACGUGGAUAACCUACCUAUAAGACUGGGAUAACUUCGGGAAACCGGAGCUAAUGCCGGAUAAUAUAUUGAACCGCAUGGUUCAAUAGUGAAAGACGGUUUUGCUGUCACUUAUAGAUGGAUCCGCGCCGCAUUAGCUAGUUGGUAAGGUAACGGCUUACCAAGGCAACGAUGCGUAGCCGACCUGAGAGGGUGAUCGGCCACACUGGAACUGAGACACGGUCCAGACUCCUACGGGAGGCCGCAGUAGGGAAUCUUCCGCAAUGGGCGAAAGCUUGACGGAGCAACGCCGCGUGAGUGAUGAAGGUCUUCGGAUCGUAAAACUCUGUUAUUAGGGAAGAACAAAUGUGUAAGUAACUAUGCACGUCUUGACGGUACCUAAUCAGAAAGCCACGGCUAACUACGUG
RNAcentral lists this ribosomal RNA (497 nucleotides) under uncultured bacterium. RNAcentral describes it as "partial 16S ribosomal RNA". It matches the Rfam family "Bacterial small subunit ribosomal RNA", at positions 28 to 507 of the family's 1533-position model. The record is from RNAcentral.